AGCUCCAAUAGCGUAUAUUAAAGUUGUUGCAGUUAAAAAGCUCGUAGUUGGAUUUCUGGUAGGAGUGACCGGUCCGCUCCGCAAGGAGUGAGCACUGCUGUCGUCUUUUGCCAUCCUUGGGAAACGCGAUUCUGGCAUUAGGUUGUCGGGGUUGAUUUUCCCAUCGUUUACUGUGAAAAAAUUAGAGUGUUCAAAGCAGGCUUAGGCCAUUGAAUACAUUAGCAUGGAAUAAUGAGAUAGGGCCUUGGUGGUUUUCUAUUUUGUUGGUUUGCACGCCAAGGUAAUGAUUAAUAGGGAUAGUUGGGGGUAUUCGUAUUCAAUUGUCAGAGGUGAAAUUCUUGGAUUUAUGGAAGACGAACUACUGCGAAAGCAUUUACCAAGGAUGUUUUCAUUAAUCAAG
RNAcentral lists this ribosomal RNA (400 nucleotides) under phytoplankton environmental sample. Its description in RNAcentral is "partial small subunit ribosomal RNA". It matches the Rfam family "Eukaryotic small subunit ribosomal RNA", at positions 587 to 981 of the family's 1831-position model. The record is from RNAcentral.